This 252-nucleotide ribosomal RNA is filed under the name uncultured bacterium. RNAcentral describes it as "partial 16S ribosomal RNA". It matches the Rfam family "Bacterial small subunit ribosomal RNA", at positions 524 to 776 of the family's 1533-position model. The record is from RNAcentral.
UACGAGGGGGCAAGCGUUGUUCGGAAUUAUUGGGCGUAAAGGGCGCGUAGGCGGUUUGACAAGUCUGAUGUGAAAUCUAUGGGCUCAACCCAUAGCCUGCAUUAGAAACUGUCGGGCUUGAGUAUGGGAGAGGUGAGUGGAAUUUCCGGUGUAGCGGUGAAAUGCGUGGAUAUCGGAAGGAACACCUGUGGCGAAAGCGGCUCACUGGACCAUAACUGACGCUGAGGCGCGAAAGCUAGGGGAGCAAACAGG